This 352-nucleotide unclassified non-coding RNA is filed under the name soil metagenome. RNAcentral describes it as "partial contains 5.8S ribosomal RNA, internal transcribed spacer 2, and large subunit ribosomal RNA". The stretch from base 1 to 120 matches the Rfam family "5.8S ribosomal RNA", at positions 35 to 154 of the family's 154-position model. The record is from RNAcentral.
GAUGAAGAACGUAGCGAAAUGCGAUAAGUAAUGUGAAUUGCAGAAUUCAGUGAAUCAUCGAAUCUUUGAACGCACAUUGCGCCCGCCAGUAUUCUGGCGGGCAUGCCUGUUCGAGCGUCAUUUCAACCCUCAGGCCCCCAGUGCCUGGUGUUGGGGAUCGGCCCAGCCUUCCUGUAAGGCCGCCGGCCCCGAAAUCUAGUGGCGGUCUCGCUGUAGUCCUCCUCUGCGUAGUAGCACAACCUCGCAGUUGGAACGCGGCGGUGGCCAUGCCGUUAAACACCCCACUUCUGAAAGUUGACCUCGGAUCAGGUAGGAAUACCCGCUGAACUUAAGCAUAUCAAUAAGAGGAGGA